ACGAACGCUGGCGGCGUGCUUAACACAUGCAAGUCGAACGGAAAGGCCCUGCUUUUGUGGGGUGCUCGAGUGGCGAACGGGUGAGUAACACGUGAGUAACCUGCCCUUGACUUUGGGAUAACUUCAGGAAACUGGGGCUAAUACCGGAUAGGAGCUCCUGCUGCAUGGUGGGGGUUGGAAAGUUUCGGCGGUUGGGGAUGGACUCGCGGCUUAUCAGCUUGUUGGUGGGGUAGUGGCUUACCAAGGCUUUGACGGGUAGCCGGCCUGAGAGGGUGGCCGGCCACAUUGGGACUGAGAUACGGCCCAGACUCCUACGGGAGGCAGCAGUGGGGAAUAUUGCACAAAGGGCGGAAGCCUGAUGCAGCAACGCCGCGUGCGGGAUGACGGCCUUCGGGUUGUAAACCGCUUUCGCCUGUGACGAAGCGUGAGUGACGGUAAUGGGUAAAGAAGCACCGGCUAACUACGUG
Molecule: ribosomal RNA, 467 nt
Filed under: uncultured bacterium
Lineage: Bacteria
Description: partial 16S ribosomal RNA
Rfam family: Bacterial small subunit ribosomal RNA
Source: RNAcentral